GACGAACGCUGGCGGCGUGCCUAAUACAUGCAAGUUGAGCGAUGAAGAUUGGUGCUUGCACCAAUUUGAAGAGCAGCGAACGGGUGAGUAACGCGUGGGGAAUCUGCCUUUGAGCGGGGGACAACAUUUGGAAACGAAUGCUAAUACCGCAUAAUAACUUUAAACAUAAGUUUUAAGUUUGAAAGAUGCAAUUGCAUCACUCAAAGAUGAUCCCGCGUUGUAUUAGCUAGUUGGUGAGGUAAAGGCUCACCAAGGCGAUGAUACAUAGCCGACCUGAGAGGGUGAUCGGCCACAUUGGGACUGAGACACGGCCCAAACUCCUACGGGAGGCAGCAGUAGGGAAUCUUCGGCAAUGGACGAAAGUCUGACCGAGCAACGCCGCGGGAGUGAAGAAGGGUUUCGGAUCGUAAAACUCUGUUGGUAGAGAAGAACGUUGGUGAGAGUGGAAAGCUCAUCAAGUGACGGUAACUACACAGAAAGGGACGGCUAACUACGUG
RNAcentral lists this ribosomal RNA (497 nucleotides) under uncultured bacterium. RNAcentral describes it as "partial 16S ribosomal RNA". It matches the Rfam family "Bacterial small subunit ribosomal RNA", at positions 28 to 507 of the family's 1533-position model. The record is from RNAcentral.